GGUGGGUUGGCCGAGCGGUUGAAGGCACUAGUCUUGAAAACUAGCAAGGGGGGCAACCCCUUCCAGGGUUCGAAUCCCUGACCCACCGCCA
This 91-nucleotide transfer RNA is filed under the name Bordetella hinzii CA90 BAL1384. Its description in RNAcentral is "tRNA-Ser". It matches the Rfam family "tRNA". From Rfam's summary of the family: Transfer RNA (tRNA) molecules are approximately 80 nucleotides in length. The record is from RNAcentral. Lineage: Bacteria; Pseudomonadati; Pseudomonadota; Betaproteobacteria; Burkholderiales; Alcaligenaceae.